Non-coding RNA from Poeciliopsis prolifica (blackstripe livebearer), 423 nucleotides. NCBI's taxonomy places the organism in Eukaryota, Metazoa, Chordata, Actinopteri, Cyprinodontiformes, Poeciliidae. The record is from the annotation of a RefSeq genome assembly.
GUUGCUGUCAUGUUUGCGACUGUCUUUUAUCUGUCACUGUUGAUGCACUCAGGUUUCUCCGUUGUAGUCCUUCAGUCUCUACAUCGAAUCUCUUCGCCGGGAGACGAUGUGACGUUCGAGUGCAGGUUGGGAGCAGGCGACAGCAUGAGCAGCCAAACCAUGCUCUGGUACCGGCAGAGGAGCCCCGGGGCCCAAGUGGAGUUCAUCCUCAAAGAGUACGAAGAAACUGUGGGACGCUACCGGUCUUCCAUCGAACCGCAGAAAAAUCUGUUCUCUCUUCAAAUCCCAAAGUUGUUCCCGAAUGACAGCAGCACCUACUACUGUGCCGCUAGUCACAGUGAUGCAUGCAGAUCAGACAGUCAUACAAAUAAGGAGACGGUCUGUGGUACGCAGGCAGGAAGGAGCCGUGGCUUCUCUGACUAG